UCCUCGUUAGUAUAGUGGUGAGUAUCCCCGCCUGUCACACGGGAGACUGGGAUUCGAUUCCCCGACGGGGAG
Molecule: transfer RNA, 72 nt
Filed under: Alosa alosa (allis shad)
Lineage: Eukaryota; Metazoa; Chordata; Actinopteri; Clupeiformes; Clupeidae
Description: tRNA-Asp
Rfam family: tRNA
About the family: Transfer RNA (tRNA) molecules are approximately 80 nucleotides in length. Their secondary structure includes four short double-helical elements and three loops (D, anti-codon, and T loops).
Source: RNAcentral